GUCUCCAGAGAAAGGGAAAUUCCUUUACCUACGUCUGUGGGAGCAGCCGCUUGUCACUUCCUGGGGCUGUCGCUGGCCCCUGAGAUGGCCAACAGAGCUCCCUCCAGCCAGAGAGCACCAGAAUACAAGACACUGAAGGACCUCGCUGCUCCUGAUGAUGCAACGGGGAAAAGUCAAACCCACAUGAGGAAACGAAGGCACAAAGACAUCAAGUAACUUGCUCAAGUCACAUGGCCAAUAAGUGACGGAGUCCAAACGCAACCCUGUCACUCCAGCUCCAGACUCCAUCUUCCUACCAGAAGGAAUGGAAGGAAACUCACCGCCGUUGUGAAGAAACUUGGUGAAACUCCAGCAACUUCUACCACCUGCCCGCUGCUGAGUCAUGGGCUAGAAAAGAACCACGUGGGAUGUGCAACCUGGCCAUGUCUCUCGGGUUCUUGGCUGCUGCCGGCAACAUUCUCUGGGUUUGUACUCACAUGAGAGCACUCCUUCACUAUGGACUUGGAGGUGGAUGUGGGAGUGGGAAAUGUUCUUUUUCUCUUGCUAGUUAUGCCCUCUCAAUCCCAACCGGCUCAGUAAAAGGGGAGUGGGCAGGGACCAUACCGAAAAUAUAACUCAUCAUCUCUUCUUCCCCAGCGCAGCCUCCAUUUGUCCCAACUAUCACGAGAAGCUUUCCUCCCUUUCAAGGCAGUUUAUCCCUGCCUUAUACCCCCUUCCUCACCUUGUCCAGCCCUCAUUAGAACCUUAGAGGCAUAUGCUUGCCCUAAGGGCCUGGAAAAUU
Callorhinus ursinus (northern fur seal) is the source of this 781-nucleotide RNA transcript. It is a transcript of the gene named purine rich element binding protein A, with no coding region annotated. NCBI's taxonomy places the organism in Eukaryota, Metazoa, Chordata, Mammalia, Carnivora, Otariidae. The record is from RefSeq and is a predicted model, not a curated record.